UCCCGGGAGGGCCGGGCUGGCGGGAAGCCGGGCGUGGAGGGGACGGGGGCCUGCGCCGCGACCCCGCCGCGCUGCCGUUGUUCCCAGGCGAUUGCUGUUUCGCGGCUCGGCGAUGCAGACCACGUAAAGGACAACGGAAAACGUCUCCCCGCUGGGGCCGGUUCUGUAACGUAUUGAGCGCUCACGUUCUGAAAAAAACCUUUGGAGCCUCUUCUACCUCCGCCGAGAAAGCCCAUCUGGAAGGAAACUCUAAACAGCUUCAAGUGUCACUUGGCUGACGUCACAGCCACCCGAGAGAGGCAGGAAGAAGUUGUACUUCUGCUGAAGAGAUCUUUUUCUUCUCAUACAGGCCACGUCUUGAAAAUCAAAAGUCAGGUUCAUUUCUUUGGUUUUGCCUAAUCCAAGAAGUUGUAAAUUAUGCUGAAGCCAGUUAUCCUGCAGCAUCAAAUGGGUUCUGAAUCCAAGUACAAAGAUGACGUUUGAAAAUGCUUUCAUAGCAGGAAUUGAACCGGGUACCUGUUAUUUUCAACCUCAGCCAAAAGCUUGUUUGUUGUACUGAUUAGAAGACUAUUUUGCAAAGGGCCCAAAAUGCUGCACCCCAAAGAUGUCAUUAAAUGCCGAUGAGCACACGGAGUAAAUAUCAAAAGUCAACCUGUCAUCUGUGGAGAACUAAAGACCUUUCAAAUGAAUGGAGGAUGUUCGUACUUUUGAACGUGAAUUAUGCCUGCCCCUUCUCCAGUCUUGUGGAUUCCUAGUGUCUACAGUGGAAAGAUCUGAGAAUCUACAUCAAAGGACAUUAAUACCGCCCACCAAUAUGAGGACAUGAAACCAAUCAGCAGUCCAGAAGACGUUUAGUACAGAGGUUCAAGCCUAUGGUUCUACUCUCGGCUCUGUCCCUACCCAACCUCGUGACCCUCCUAGGAAAUCACUUACCCUCUCUGUAACUCAGUGUCCCUCAUCUGCAAAAUAGAGAUACCACUUACCACGAACACUGGGUUUUGAGUCUCUUCCCAUUGGCAGAGGAUGAUUGCUUAAACCCAAAGAGUGGAAGCCCGGCUUAAAGGAUUUUAUUUGUUUGGUCAUAUUUGGAUUCCUGUAUUGAGAACAUACAAGUAUUUUUAUCAUAAUCAUUAUCCUUAUCAAUAUCUGGGUAAUAUAAACUGAGGCAAAGAGGCCAGGAAAAAUGAGAAUCAGUUCUUGCCUAUUUUUCACAAUUUAUAUUCAAUAAUGCUUAGGAAUUCCCAGGUGCUUCUCUCCAACUGCACUGUGUUUAGUUUUUAGGACAGCUUCUGUGCAAAAGAAAAGCACACCUCGAACUGGCUUCAACAAAAAAAUGGAUUUUAUUGAUUUACAUCACCACCAAGUCCAGAAGUAGACUUUGAGGUCAGCUUUGUUCAGGAGGCCGAACAGCAGACUCAGGUUUCUUCUUGGUUCUCUCUCUCUCUCUCUCUCUCUCUCUCUCUCUGCUUUCUGCAUUAUCUGCUUCCUCUUCUGGCUGGCUUCAUUCAGGGUGUUCAGGUGGCUCCGAGGAUGGGGCAUAUUUCCUCACCCAAGCCUUGCGAGGAAGACUGAUCAUCUUGUCCCAUCAUUCCCAGCUAGAAUCCUGAAACUCACUCAGAUUAGAUCGCCUUGGACCACAUGCAGGGACAACAACGAAAAGCACUAUGUGAUUUAGUCUCUGUCACCUGUCACACAUUUCACAGCUGGAGCUUGGGUAGAGUUAACUUCAGUAGCACCAAACAGAUACCUUCCUAGCAAAAGAAAGUCCCAUCCUCCCCCUCAGUGGUUUCUGAGACAGCUUUUUCUGAGAAAUAGGUGGCUAAAUAAAUACUAGCUUGCUAUUUUAA
Molecule: long non-coding RNA, 1847 nt
Organism: Felis catus (domestic cat)
Lineage: Eukaryota; Metazoa; Chordata; Mammalia; Carnivora; Felidae
Exons: 5
Source: RefSeq, a predicted model, not a curated record